GCUCUUAGCCAUCAUCCCCCACCCUCUUUCUCUCUCGCAACCAUGACGAAUGAAGCUUAUGUCUUCCCUGCAGCCGUCUGCAACCUCUAUGUUUAGGGUAUGUUAGGUUACCUGGGUCAAUUCAGGCUGCAUCGUAUCUGCUAUGCUGGUUGAGUCUGGCCUGGAUGAUCUAAUGCAACGAGAGACUGAGAUGUGUGUUUCAUUGCCUAUAAGACGUGGGAUAGGUUGACCUGAGAUCGUGUUUGGUAGGUUGUACUAGAAAUCAGUGACCAACCAUG
Molecule: long non-coding RNA, 278 nt
Filed under: Hordeum vulgare
Lineage: Eukaryota; Viridiplantae; Streptophyta; Magnoliopsida; Poales; Poaceae
Description: long non-coding RNA (HVUL_LNC011864)
Source: RNAcentral